Mustela erminea (ermine) is the source of this 2980-nucleotide long non-coding RNA. RefSeq lists it as uncharacterized. The record is from RefSeq and is a predicted model, not a curated record. NCBI's taxonomy places the organism in Eukaryota, Metazoa, Chordata, Mammalia, Carnivora, Mustelidae. The transcript has 3 exons.
CAAAGGCAGAGGCUUAACCCACUGAGCCACCUAGGUGCCCCACUACAGGUGAUCUUUAAACAGAUUCAAGUGAAGACCUAAGAACUUUGUCUCCACUUAGAAGCCUAAUCAUUCUCUCAUGGAACAAUGGACAAGAGGACCUAUUUCUAAGAGUGACUGCCCACUUCCUCUGAACUAUAACUCUUAUCUGUGGUAAAGCAUAACUAUGUAGAUGUGGUCUCUAUUCUUUGUUGAUGUUUAAUGAAAUGAGAAAUUGAGUAAACAGCAGAUAAAGUCACAAAUACAAAGAGUAAAGAUCAUUUACGGAAGAAAUUUAAAAUUAUUUCUAUAUCAUUUAAAGUAUUCUUGUUAAUCUUUUAUUAUUGGAAUACUGAUUUAGGUGUUCUUACCUGUUCACAGUCUUAGGGGCUUGAUGUUAAUGUUUGUUUUUAGAAAUUACAAGUAUUUUUUAUAUUCGUUGUAAACUUGAUAGUUUAUAGACUAUAAAUAUGGCUGUAUUUUAAUGCUUACAGAUUUUUGGUACUAAGAGAUAAAAACAGUUUUUGUAUAGUAGAACUUUGGUAUAGAGAAUACAUUUUGUGACUAGAUAUAUGUUAUGAAACAUAUAAAAUAAGGUUUACAUUGUGUCUUACUAUAGUUUAUUCAUGUUACUGUUUUAUGAAGUUUUAAUUUAAUAGUCUCCAGCUAUAACUUUUAGAGAAUUUCUUUACAAUAAUUUAUAGAUUUCUCACUUGAUAUUCAUUGUGAAACGAGAAAGUAAAAAUCACCUUUUCUUCCACUUACACUUUGGUAUAGAUCCUUCCUGUUUUGUGGGGUUUUUUUUUAUUAAGUUUUUAAAACUACAGGUAUACUGUUUUUGCAAUGCACAUUUUAAGAUAUUAGACUGGUGUUAUAUGAAAAUUGUUCUACACUUCACUUAGACAAUUUCUUUUGAUCAAUCCAGGAACACCAUCAGGUGUAUCAGGUAAGUAUUAGCAUUAUUUCCUUGGUUAAGAGUCCUUGUUGAUUGUGAAAUCUACCACAGAUGUAGAAAUAAUAUAGAUGGGGCAGGGAGGAACAGUACUAUGGGAGAUGUGUACAUUGGUAGUGGGAUGCAUCCUGAUUUCUGGUAUGUGAGGUUAUGCAUCAUAGGAUCAAGGAAAUUAUGAUACUUUUUUGUACAGUUGAAGAAAUGUAGGUGAGAGGAGUUAGGUGAUUUGCCUACAGUAACGGUUAGCAGUUAGUCCUCUGCCUCUAGAUUUUAUAUUCUUCCUGAUACAAAACCUUUGAGUUAGAAAAUACUUCAUUUAUAAGGAUGACUAGGCUCAAAUACACCUUUUAAAGUUUAGGGUCAAUGAAAUGCCUGAGAAAAAGGAGAAAAAUCUUCUACCUGGGAUAAGGUGCUGGAUCAAACUUCUAAGCUGUUAGAUCUAGCCACACAGAUCUCAGAGAUGGAGAUUUACUCAUUCCAUUUUUUUAAAAAAAACUUUUGUACUUCAGAGGGUUAAGUCCUUUAUUAAUUGGUCUAAUAGAAAAGAAACCUCAUUUGUGAAGUGUUACAGAGAUUGGAUUUACCUUUCCGAGUUUUGCUACACAAGUUUUAGUACAAGUAAUUUCUAUAAUUUAGCAUCCGCUCCCUUUAGGUAACUAGUGUCAUUCCUUGAAUGUGUUGGUGAAGUUCCACUAAGAUUGUCACCGUCUUCCUCAAUACAUGAUCAUACUUUUGUCUUUAUAGAGAAAGUAGGGUUUUCAUGAGUCACUACCUGGAAUCUCCUGUGUACCCCACACAUACAAAUUUAACUUUUAAACUCAUUCUUUCUUCUCCCCCUCUGUCCCAAGAGUAUAUGCCACAUCCUAGGCUAACUCGUAAUUCCAUCCCUCCCGCCCUGAGCCUGUUCUUCCCACUUAUUCUUUUAUUUCAGUAUAGAAAAUCCUACUCAUAUGUUUCCUAAAUUGGGGAGAAAUUUUUUUUAACCCUGUGUUACCUUUAGUGAUUCUUGUUUUAUAGUGUGUAUACUUUCUCCCUCCAUUCAGUCCAUUCAGAGUACCUUCUCCCCUCCAUCAAUUCAGCUUUGUUUCUCCCAGCAGGCUGUAGGGUCACCAAUAAUUCCUGCUUGACAGGUACAGAGAAUUCCUGUCUCUCUUUAUUUUCACUUGAUUUUUCUUUGAUAUUUGGCCUAAGUGACUGUCUCUGGUAUCCACACUUGCUUCUUCCUUAGCUUAUGUAAUUCUGCUUUCUCUUAGUUCUCCUCUCUGGUAUCUCCAUCUUUUGUAUUUAUGGGCCAUUCUUUCUUUGCCCGCAUUUUAACUGAUGGCAUUUCCCAGAGUUCUAGCUUUUGUCUUCUCACUCUAUAUGCCUUUUCUGGGUGACCUCAUUCAAGCCCAUUGCGUCACCUUUGCCUUGAAUUAUUAUUUACCACCCCAUUGUCCACCUUCAAGUUUGUCUGAUGUUUCUGUCUCAUAACAGUACUAUAGGUAUUUAGCCUUCGCGGGUCAGAAACCGGCAAUCCAUUUAGACUCCUCUGUCACUUUGAUUCAUUUUAUCAAGUAGGUAAAGAAAUAAAUUAUUUUCUCUUAAUUUCACUCAGAUAAUUCCCUUCCUUAAUUGGGGCUCUCAUUAUUUUCAAAAUGUAUAUUGUACUUAAAAUUUUCCAGACAUAGCCCAUCAUCUUCUAGGGUGAUAUAUCUGGAAGUUCUUCUGAUACUCCCUUCUCUUUUCUGUCUGUCCUCUCACCUUUGGCUUUAGGUAUCAUCUAGAUGCUAACAAAUGCCAGAUUUAUAUCUCUAGCCCAUCCUGAUCCUGUGAACACUAGGCUGCUGGCCAACUUAACUCUUCUACUUAGAUGUUUCUUAGUCCUCUCCAACUUAACUUUUGUCUUCUGCAGAACUCUUGUUUCCUUCAGAAACCCUUCCUUCAGUCCUUUGUUUUUGUUUUUUUUUUUCAAAGGUUUUAUUAUUUGACAGAGAAAGAGAGAGAGAGAGAGCACAAGCAGGGGGAGCA